This 336-nucleotide ribosomal RNA is filed under the name uncultured Enterobacteriaceae bacterium. RNAcentral describes it as "bacterial SSU rRNA". It matches the Rfam family "Bacterial small subunit ribosomal RNA", at positions 1167 to 1502 of the family's 1533-position model. The record is from RNAcentral. Lineage: Bacteria; Pseudomonadati; Pseudomonadota; Gammaproteobacteria; Enterobacterales; Enterobacteriaceae.
AGGAAGGUGGGGACGACGUCAAGUCAUCAUGGCCCUUACGACCAGGGCUACACACGUGCUACAAUGGCGUAUACAAAGGGAUGCGAAGGUGCGAACUGGAGCGGACCUCACAAAGUACGUCUAAGUCCGGAUUGGGGUCUGCAACUCGACUCCAUGAAGUCGGAAUCGCUAGUAAUCGUGAAUCAGAAUGUCACGGUGAAUACGUUCCCGGGCCUUGUACACACCGCCCGUCACACCAUGGGAGUGGGUUGCACCAGAAGUAGAUAGCUUAACCUUCGGGAGGGCGUUUACCACGGUGUGGUUCAUGACUGGGGUGAAGUCGUAACAAGGUAACCA